AGUGAACGCUGGCGGUAGGCCUAACACAUGCAAGUCGAACGGCAGCACAGUAAGAGCUUGCUCUUACGGGUGGCGAGUGGCGGACGGGUGAGGAAUACAUCGGAAUCUACUUUUUCGUGGGGGAUAACGUAGGGAAACUUACGCUAAUACCGCAUACGACCUACGGGUGAAAGCAGGGGAUCUUCGGACCUUGCGCGAUUGAAUGAGCCGGUGUCGGAUUAGCUAGUUGGCGGGGUAAAGGCCCACCAAGGCGACGAUCCGUAGCUGGUCUGAGAGGAUGAUCAGCCACACUGGAACUGAGACACGGUCCAGACUCCUACGGGAGGCAGCAGUGGGGAAUAUUGGACAAAGGGCGCAAGCCUGAUCCAGCCAUACCGCGUGGGUGAAGAAGGCCUUCGGGUUGUAAAGCCCUUUUGUUGGGAAAGAAAAGCAGCAGGUUAAUACCCCGCUGUUCUGACGGUACCCAAAGAAUAAGCACCGGCUAACUUCGUG
Molecule: ribosomal RNA, 492 nt
Filed under: uncultured bacterium
Lineage: Bacteria
Description: partial 16S ribosomal RNA
Rfam family: Bacterial small subunit ribosomal RNA
Source: RNAcentral